UAAGGGGGUGAAUCCCAGGGCUCAACCCUCGGAACUGCCUCUUAAUACUCGCUCGGUCUUGAGUUCGAGAGAGGUGAGUGGAAUUCCGAGUGUAGAGGUGAAAUUCGUAGAUAUUCGGAGGAACACCAGUGGCGAAGGCGGCUCACUGGCUCGAUACUGAC
This 161-nucleotide ribosomal RNA is filed under the name uncultured bacterium. RNAcentral describes it as "partial 16S ribosomal RNA". It matches the Rfam family "Bacterial small subunit ribosomal RNA", at positions 588 to 744 of the family's 1533-position model. The record is from RNAcentral.